CACCAUGGCUGGCCAAGACCCAGCCGUCGAAAGUUGAUAGGGCAGAAAUUUGAAUGAACCAUCGCCAGCGCAAGGCCGUGCGAUUCGAGAAGUUAUCAUGAAUCACCAGAAAGCCCCGAGGGGCAUUGGUUUUUAAUCUAAUAAAUACAUCCCUUCCGAAGUCGGGAUUUUUAGCAUGUAUUAGCUCUAGAAUUACCACGGUUAUCCAUGUAGUAAGGUGCUAUCAAAUAAACAAUAACUGAUUUAAUGAGCCAUUCGCAGUUUCGCCGUAUAAUGCUUAUACUAGACAUCU
RNAcentral lists this ribosomal RNA (292 nucleotides) under uncultured fungus. Its description in RNAcentral is "partial 18S ribosomal RNA". The record is from RNAcentral. Lineage: Eukaryota; Fungi.